GGCUUAUAAACUAUCACGACGCCCAAAAAGUCGUGGCUUGGAUGUAGUGCCAGCUGGCGUGAUUUCCCCUAUGUUAUUAUUGAUUAUUAUCCUUUUUGGAUAAUAAUUAAAAUCACGUGUGGGGUGCCAGAUCUAUGGCUCCAUCCUAAUGUAUCCGGCUGCAGCCAAGUCUAAAAUCUAAUAAAUGGAUUGAACUGCUGCGGUGGAUUAUGCUCGAGUCGUGGCUCAGUGCUAUGAACACGCUUGUUGUUAUAAUCUAUCGUUUGUCAGUGAAUUCCUUUUGAACUAUUGGACUAUUUAGACUUUGGUUUUGUAACCGAAGAGACGGACAUAGAGAAAAUUUAAAAGUUGUUUUAGUAUCUCUAUUGUCUAUCAUAUACAUACAUAUAAAUGUAUAUAUAUGUAUAUUUAAUUUUGACCCUGACCUCGGAUCAGACGUGAUUACCCGCUGAACUUAAGCAUAUCACUAAGCGGAGGAAAAGAAACUAACCAGGAUUCCCCCAGUAACGGCGAGUGAACGGGGAUUAGCCCAGCACCGAAGCCUGUGACUAAUUGGUUACUAGGCAAUGUGGUGUUUAGGUCAUCUCUUGGCAUUAUUGCUCCACCCUAAGUCCAGCAAUGAGUACGGCUUACUGGAAUGGCCCACAGAGGGUGAAAGGCCCGUGGGGGUG
Molecule: ribosomal RNA, 671 nt
Filed under: Urotocus rossitensis
Lineage: Eukaryota; Metazoa; Platyhelminthes; Trematoda; Diplostomida; Leucochloridiidae
Description: eukaryotic LSU rRNA
Rfam family: Eukaryotic large subunit ribosomal RNA (bases 422-671)
Source: RNAcentral